Molecule: ribosomal RNA, 253 nt
Filed under: uncultured bacterium
Lineage: Bacteria
Description: partial 16S ribosomal RNA
Rfam family: Bacterial small subunit ribosomal RNA
Source: RNAcentral
UACAGAGGGUGCAAGCGUUGUUCGGAAUUAUUGGGCGUAAAGGGCGCGUAGGCGGUGCUGUAAGUCUGGAGUGAAAUCUCUGGGCUCAACUCAGAGUCUGCUAUAGAAACUGCAGUGCUGGAGUGUGGGAGAGGUGAGUGGAAUUCCCGGUGUAGCGGUGAAAUGCGUAGAUAUUGGGAGGAACACCAGUGGCGAAGGCGGCUCACUGGACCGGUACUGACGCUGAUGCGCGAAAGCGUGGGGAGCAAACGGG